This 703-nucleotide long non-coding RNA is filed under the name Homo sapiens (human). RNAcentral's name for it is "non-protein coding LINC01638:12". Lineage: Eukaryota; Metazoa; Chordata; Mammalia; Primates; Hominidae. The record is from RNAcentral.
CUUCUAUCUUGUUGGUAUUCUGUCUCCCUGGUGCUUCUCAUGUGCUGAGCUUGAUAGAGAAGGUGACCUGGCAAGGAACUGAAGGACAUCUGGCAAUGUACUGAGUGAGGAACUGGGGCCCACAGUCCAGCAGUCUCCAAGGAAUCAAAUCCCACAACAGCCAUGUGAGUGAGCAUGGAAGUAGAUCUUCCCCGGUCAAGCCCCCAGAAGGACCCAGCCCUGCGGACACCUUGACCGAAACCUGUGAGAGCUCCGGAAAUAGAGGAACCAGCAUUCCCUCUGGAAUACAUCAGCACUGUUGCCUUUGAGGCUGGCCUGCUUGAAUGCACACCUGAGCUCCGGAUUCACAGUGGAGGAAGCCAGAUGCCAUGUCAUGAGGGUGCUCAAGCAACUUUUUGGAGAUGUAUGUAUGGAGAGAAACUGAGGCCUCCUGCCAACAGCCAGCACUAACUUGGCAAGCAUGUUUGAGAGCCACCUGGGAAGUGGAGCCUUCAGCCCCAGUUAAGCCUUCAGAUGAGACUGCAGUCCUGGCCACCAUCUGGACUGCAACUUCACAAGAGCUCCUAAGCCAGAGCCAUGCAGAUGGAUUCUUGGCCCCCAGAAAUUGUGCCACUACAUUUUGGGAAAUUUAUUAUGCAGCCAUAGAUUACCAAUACACUCACUAUUUCUUUUUUCUGAUGCCAUACUAAAAAAAAAAAAAAAA